GAGCCAGUGAGCAGGAAGCGCGCGGUAGGUUGGGCUUCUCCAGGAGGCAGCGGUUUGACUCCAAUGGGGAAUGCGGGAUCGGGCGGUUAAACGGAUGGAACGAAUCUGGAACCAGUAGACGGACAGCCUAAGGAAAGCGCUGGGACCAGUCGUCCAAUCGGCUCUCCAAAAGAGGGAGGUCUUCGAUUUGGGGUUGUGAGGAAGGGGAGUCGGUGCCUGUAAUGGCGUGUGAGGGUGGAUGUUUUAUCCACGAUGACUUCUCUAACGAAGCCUUUAGGCCUCAGUCCCAUACACCUCCUUGAAAGCGUAAGUUUGCUCCUGUAUUCCUCGACUUGAGCAUUUUUCCCCCGCCCCCUCACCACUUGAGGUUUGGGGAACAGGAGUUGUUUUUUUUUGUUUGUUUGUUUUUAAAUAAUACUUUCAGAAGUCGCUUCUUUAGGAAGACUGUUAAAAUGUUAGAACGAAUGGGAGAAAUCUCUAUGUACUGUCAUGGAAAGGCGUUCAAGAAAUAUCUCCUUCCUGAUAGUGCAUAUUUCUACUGACAAAUAUGUUUGUAGGUCCACAGAAAAGUUUUGGAAAGCUACACACCAAAGUGUCAAUCCUAGGGACACAGUAGGAUCGAGGCAGAUUAGAUCUUUAAUGUUUAAAACUUUGCAAGGUUAAUAAUUUGUGAUUAAAAUUAAAUAAAAAAUGAAGUCGAUUGUUUUGUGUUUCUAGUCAUAAUCACAUACUUACAACCCCUUUUCUGUUUUAUGUAAUCCAUGUGCCCAGUGCUUUUAUUUUAGUCUCUUUCUCCCGGGAACUUUCAUAUAUUUCUUUUCUUUACACCAUUGAAGAUAUCCUAAAGUCCCUCUUUUUGCUGUUCCUUUGAGGAUAUCUGACUUUGGAAUAAAAAAGAAACAAAGAGGGUAAUAUUUAGGGUUCUGGGGACAGAAGAUUCAUCCAUCACCUGGAUUAUUCCUUGCCUUUUAAUUAGAUUUCCUUCGAAGUGUGUUUUACAUGCAGUCUAUCUCCUUUUGGUAAUGCCCACUCUGCUUAUUCCAGGAUCUUUUGGAGAAAUAAAUAAAUUUUGAUAACAUUGGCUGUA
Long non-coding RNA from Homo sapiens (human), 1087 nucleotides. The record is from Ensembl. Lineage: Eukaryota; Metazoa; Chordata; Mammalia; Primates; Hominidae.